Molecule: ribosomal RNA, 435 nt
Filed under: uncultured archaeon
Lineage: Archaea
Description: bacterial SSU rRNA
Rfam family: Archaeal small subunit ribosomal RNA
Source: RNAcentral
UACCAGCUCCCUGAGUGGUAUGGACGAUUAUUUGGCCUAAAGCGUCCGUAGCCGGCUUAUCAAGUCUCUUGUUAAACCCAAUGGUUCAAUCAUUGAUCUGCAAGAGAUACUGUUAUGCUAGAGGACGGGAGAGGUCGACGGUAGUCCAGGGGUAGGGGUGAAAUCCUAUAAUCCUUGGAGGACCACCAGUGGCGAAGGCGGUCGACUAGAACGUGCCUGACGGUGAGGGACGAAAGCUGGGGGAGCGAACCGGAUUAGAUACCCGGGUAGUCCCAGCUGUAAACGAUGCGGGCUAGGUGUUGGGGUAGCGUACGAGCUACUCCAGUGCCGCAGAGAAGUUGUUAAGCCCGCCGCCUGGGGAGUACGGCCGCAAGGCUAGAAACUUAAAGGGAAUUGGGCGGGGGGGCACCGACGAAGGGGUGAAGGCUGCGGUUU